UCGAGGAAAAGAAACCAACAGGGAUUGCCUUAGUAACGGCGAGUGAAGCGGCAAAAGCUCAAAUUUGAAAUCUGGCACCUUCGGUGUCCGAGUUGUAAUUUGAAGAAGGUAACUUUGGAGUUGGCUCUGUCUAUGUUCCUUGGAACAGGACGUCACAGAGGGUGAGAAUCCCGUGCGAUGAGAUGCCCAAUUCUAUGUAAAGUGCUUUCGAAGAGUCGAGUUGUUUGGGAAUGCAGCUCUAAGUGGGUGGUAAAUUCCAUCUAAAGCUAAAUAUUGGCGAGAGACCGAUAGCGAACAAGUACAGUGAUGGAAAGAUGAAAAGAACUUUGAAAAGAGAGUGAAAAAGUACGUGAAAUUGUUGAAAGGGAAGGGCUUGAGAUCAGACUUGGUAUUUUGCGAUCCUUUCCUUCUUGGUUGGGUUCCUCGCAGCUUACUGGGCCAGCAUCGGUUUGGAUGGUAGGAUAAUGACUAAGGAAUGUGGCUCUACUUCGGUGGAGUGUUAUAGCCUUGGUUGAUACUGCCUGUCUAGACCGAGGACUGCGUCUUUGACUAGUGACUGUUGCAUAU
RNAcentral lists this ribosomal RNA (567 nucleotides) under Debaryomyces hansenii. RNAcentral's name for it is "partial large subunit ribosomal RNA". It matches the Rfam family "Eukaryotic large subunit ribosomal RNA", at positions 51 to 624 of the family's 3401-position model. Lineage: Eukaryota; Fungi; Ascomycota; Pichiomycetes; Serinales; Debaryomycetaceae. The record is from RNAcentral.